AGGACGAACGCUGGCGGCGUGCUUAACACAUGCAAGUCACGGGGGCUCGCAAGAGCAACCGGCGAACGGGUGCGUAACACGUGAGCAACCUACCGAUUUCUGGGGGAUAGCCGGCCCAACGGCCGGGUAAUACCGCAUACGUUCUUGGGGGACAUCCUCUGAAGAAGAAACCUCCGGGGGAGAUCGAGGGGCUCGCGGCCUAUCAGCUAGUUGGCGAGGUAACGGCUCACCAAGGCAACGACGGGUAGCUGGUCUGAGAGGAUGGCCAGCCACAUUGGGACUGAGAGACGGCCCAGACUCCUACGGGAGGCAGCAGUGGGAAUCUUGCGCAAUGGCCGAAAGGCUGACGCAGCGACGCCGCGUGUGGGAUGAAGCAUUUCGGUGUGUAAACCACUGUUGCCCGGGACGAACAGCUUCUUUCGAGGAGCCUGACGGUACCGGGUGAGGAAGCACCGGCUAACUCCGCGCCAGCAGCCGCGGUAA
This 483-nucleotide ribosomal RNA is filed under the name uncultured bacterium. RNAcentral describes it as "SSU rRNA". It matches the Rfam family "Bacterial small subunit ribosomal RNA", at positions 26 to 523 of the family's 1533-position model. The record is from RNAcentral.